Molecule: RNA transcript, 1970 nt
Organism: Syzygium oleosum
Lineage: Eukaryota; Viridiplantae; Streptophyta; Magnoliopsida; Myrtales; Myrtaceae
Exons: 6
Source: RefSeq, a predicted model, not a curated record
GACUCGGCGAACCCUGGCAAGCAAACAAGAGAUCCGCCGAAUCUGAUCUGGCACCAAAAUUCCAACUAAUCCAGUAAAAUACGGCGAAGGCAAACAUCAAACCUCAUCGCCCUCCAACUCGGCCUCGCCAUUCUCGUCAACGUGGGGGGCGUGUUAUUUAAUUUAAGAGGCGUCGUUCCAGAAACCGGGUUCGAACCAGCUAAUUGAACUAAGCUCGAGUCAAAAAGUGCUAACGUGGGGACACCAAAGGGAAGUCUCCAUAAAGAGAGAGAACUGAGAAGAUACAACCCCAAAAUUGAAUUUUCUUAGCUGAACUUCCUUCGGUGCCCUCACGCGAACGACGAAAUCACCGGAUGUGCCCUUCAACAGAAGAAGAUCCCGAGGGCAAAUCAGGAAAAAAGUCAGUAAAAUUCACCGUCCUCUCCUUCCUUUGCACCCAAGUCGCCGUGGCUUUCAAUCGCCAUAAGAAUCCACACGAACCUGCGAGACCGGAAUCGAGGUUCGAAUCCGAGCAAUGCGGACAAAGAUCGCGAUCGAUCACUCUCUAUCUCGCUGCGCGAUGGCGCCAUUUGAUCGCGUCUGCGCAUGCGAAACGUGCGGCGAUUGGAUUUUUCCCGUGGCGCGGUUUUCGGUUUUUUCUCGAUGACGCUGUUCGAUCCGAUUCUCUCGUAGAAUGUAGAGCGGAACGGGUCGUGGUUGGGAGUGAUGGUUGUUCUGACAACGCUUGAUUGCAGCGAGUGGAGUGGGGCGAGAGAACUUUGAGUGAGGUCCAAGGCUCAUAAAGCUGUUUACAAUCACGCUCUUGUGACGAUGGUCGUGGAGUAUGCAUCUGUAUUUACAUGUCAGAUUUGACAGAACUUUUUAGUUAGACAUGUCCUGGUUGUGAUGGAAAGACCAAGGUAAUCUGACUGCAUUUUAAUAUGACAUUGUUGCUAAGGUUGCGUAAAGAAUAGGUCCUCAGUACUAAAUGGCCAAUUCUUGAGAUGAGAUUUUGUGGGCAUAUGCUGCCUUCUCUUAUUAGCUUCUGACUGGUUAUUAAUGCCUUUGGAUUUGAAAGUAGGGGUUCUAAUUCAUUGAUCUGAUAGUUGACGUCCAGCACUGCUUAUAGGUAUGUAAUUCAUGUUGCAGUGGCCUACCAAUUUGCGAUGCCUGUGAUGCCUCUAUGUUUGAAUUUCAUCUAAUUUUUUGUCCUUAUUUCUAAUCAAUAUAUAUUACCUAUAGGCAUCUAUUGGCGUGGCCAGGACCUUAAUGCUGCGGUUAUAGCUUUCGAAGGUACUCAAGAACAUAGGUUCAUCAUGGAUUUAUUAUGCUUGUCGCUAUACGACGGUGCAACCUGGUACUUUGGAUGCUGUUAGAAGAGCCAGGAUUUGACAUCAAUGUCAUGGUGAUAGGGCAUUCUAUGGGAGGGCCUAUGGCAUACUUUUGCGGACUUGAUAUCAUGGUACGGCCGUAUAAUAUAGGAUUUGUUUGUCUGGUUUAUUAGGUCAAGAAAGUUUGUGAUGGCUCUGGAGAAGAUCCAAUUUGCAGCAGAUUGGUAACUGGUAAUAGCCUCACGGACCAUUUACUCUACUAUGGUGCAAAAUUAAUGGCGGAGACGUGGGGAACGUGCAAAAUUGUCAUGGACCCACGAUUCAAGGAAUAUGGAAGCGAAGACAAAGGAUACCUUAUGCUUUCCAGGAAUCCUUCUUCUUCUGCAUUGAGGCUGCGUUAAGACUCCGAUGCCAAGAGUAACUUAACGUAAAAUGCUCCCAAGUCAGCACCUAAUUUCGUGAAGAUCAUUAGGUAACUCUGGAUGAAGUUUGUUCAUGUAAUGCAUUCCAUCAAUCUGUUUCCAUGUCCAUCACAAGAUGCAUAGGAUCUCUACUAAAAUUCACUUGGAAUGUAAAUAGCAUGAAGUUGAAUGUAUCAUCCUUGUAAACACAACUUUGUGGUACAUAUUGAAUGAAUGCGCUUGCAAGUUUACCUGUCAA